UACGUAGGGUGCGAGCGUUGUCCGGAAUUACUGGGCGUAAAGAGUUCGUAGGCGGUUUGUCGCGUCGUUCGUGAAAACUUGGGGCUUAACUCCAAGCGUGCGGGCGAUACGGGCAGACUUGAGUACUACAGGGGUGAGUGGAACUCCCGGUGUAGUGGUGAAAUGCGUAGAGAUCGGGAAGAACACCCGUGGCGAAGGCGGCUCACUGGGCUGACCUUGACGCUGAGGCGCGAAGGCGUGGGGAGCGAACGGG
RNAcentral lists this ribosomal RNA (253 nucleotides) under uncultured bacterium. Its description in RNAcentral is "partial 16S ribosomal RNA". It matches the Rfam family "Bacterial small subunit ribosomal RNA", at positions 524 to 776 of the family's 1533-position model. The record is from RNAcentral.